Molecule: ribosomal RNA, 486 nt
Filed under: uncultured bacterium
Lineage: Bacteria
Description: partial 16S ribosomal RNA
Rfam family: Bacterial small subunit ribosomal RNA
Source: RNAcentral
AUUGAACGCUGGCGGCAUGCCUUACACAUGCAAGUCGAACGGCAGCACGGGUGCUUGCACCUGGUGGCGAGUGGCGAACGGGUGAGUAAUACAUCGGAACAUGUCCUGUAGUGGGGGAUAGCCCGGCGAAAGCCGGAUUAAUACCGCAUACGAUCCACGGAUGAAAGCGGGGGACCUUCGGGCCUCGCGCUAUAGGGUUGGCCGAUGGCUGAUUAGCUAGUUGGUGGGGUAAAGGCCUACCAAGGCGACGAUCAGUAGCUGGUCUGAGAGGACGACCAGCCACACUGGGACUGAGACACGGCCCAGACUCCUACGGGAGGCAGCAGUGGGGAAUUUUGGACAAUGGGCGAAAGCCUGAUCCAGCAAUUCCGCGUGUGUGAAGAAGGCCUUCGGGUUGUAAAGCACUUUUGUCCGGAAAGAAAUCCUUGACUCUAAUACAGUCGGGGGAUGACGGUACCGGAAGAAUAAGCACCGGCUAACUACGUG